RNAcentral lists this ribosomal RNA (468 nucleotides) under uncultured bacterium. RNAcentral describes it as "partial 16S ribosomal RNA". It matches the Rfam family "Bacterial small subunit ribosomal RNA", at positions 28 to 507 of the family's 1533-position model. The record is from RNAcentral.
GACGAACGCUGGCGGCGUGCUUAACACAUGCAAGUCGAACGGAAAGGCCCUGCUUUUGUGGGGUGCUCGAGUGGCGAACGGGUGAGUAACACGUGAGUAACCUGCCCUUGACUUUGGGAUAACUUCAGGAAACUGGGGCUAAUACCGGAUAGGAGCUCCUGCUGCAUGGUGGGGGUUGGAAAGUUUCGGCGGUUGGGGAUGGACUCGCGGCUUAUCAGCUUGUUGGUGGGGUAGUGGCUUACCAAGGCUUUGACGGGUAGCCGGCCUGAGAGGGUGACCGGCCACAUUGGGACUGAGAUACGGCCCAGACUCCUACGGGAGGCAGCAGUGGGGAAUAUUGCACAAUGGGAGGAAGCAUGAUGCAGCAACGCCGCGUGCGGGAUGACGGCCUUCGGGUUGUAAACCGCUUUCGCAUGUGACGAAGCGUGAGUGACGGUAAUGGGUAAAGAAGCACCGGCUAAGUACGUG